Molecule: ribosomal RNA, 391 nt
Filed under: Diatoma tenuis
Lineage: Eukaryota; Bacillariophyta; Fragilariophyceae; Tabellariales; Tabellariaceae
Description: partial small subunit ribosomal RNA
Rfam family: Eukaryotic small subunit ribosomal RNA
Source: RNAcentral
GCUUGUCUCAAAGAUUAAGCCAUGCAUGUCUAAGUAUAAAUCUUUUACUUUGAAACUGCGAACGGCUCAUUAUAUCAGUUAUAGUUUAUUUGAUAGUCCCUUACUACUUGGAUAACCGUAGUAAUUCUAGAGCUAAUACAUGCGUCAAUACCCUUCUGGGGUAGUAUUUAUUAGAUUGAAACCAACCGCUUCGGCGUGAUGUGGUGAUUCAUAAUAACUUUGCGAAUCGCAUAGCUUUAAUGCUGGCGAUGGGUCAUUCAAAUUUCUGCCCUAUCAACUUUCGACGGUAGGAUAGAGGCCUACUGUGGUGAUAACGGGUAACGAAGAAUAAGGGUUCGAUUUCGGAGAGGGAGCCUGAGAAACGGCUACCACAUCCAAGGAAGGCAGCAGG